This 717-nucleotide ribosomal RNA is filed under the name Triticum aestivum (bread wheat). Its description in RNAcentral is "partial small subunit ribosomal RNA". The record is from RNAcentral. Lineage: Eukaryota; Viridiplantae; Streptophyta; Magnoliopsida; Poales; Poaceae.
AUGCCUUCGCUCAUCGACGGCCCGGGCUCGCUGCGGUCGCUGCUCCGGCCGGUCAGCGACGAGCGCCGGACCAAGCACGGCGGCGCCGUCGUGGGGCUCUUCAAGAUGUUCAAGCUGGUGCCGAUGCUCACCACCAGCACCGGGUGCAAGAUGGCCGCGCUGCUCGGGCGGCACAGCGGCGGCGGCGGCAGGGCCCUCCUCGCCGACCACGCGCCGGCGGUGACGCUCUUCGGGCACCGCCGCGGCCGGCUGAGCCUGACCAUCCACGAGGACACGCGGGCGCCGCCGGCGUUCCUCAUCGAGCUGCCCAUGCUGGCGGCCGCGCUGCACCGGGAGAUGGCCACGGGGACCGUGAAGCUGGCGCUGGAGAGCGAUACCCGCAGCGCGCGCCGGCGGCUCCUGGAGGAGUACGUGUGGGCCGUCUACUGCAACGGACGCAAGGCAGGGUACGCCAUCCGCCGCAAGGACCCGUCCGACGACGAGCGGCACGUGCUGCGCCUGCUGCGCGGCGUCUCCAUGGGCGCCGGGGUGCUGCCGCCGCCGCCCGCCGACGGCUCCCACGGCCCCGACGGCGAGCUCACCUACAUGCGCGCCCGCGUCGAGCGCGUCGUCGGGUCCAAGGACUCCGAGGCCUUCUACAUGAUCAACCCGGACGACGACAACCGGGGUGGCGAUGGCGCCGCGGAGCUCAGUAUUUUCCUUGUGAGGAAGAAGUAA